CCUACGGGAGGCAGCAGUGGGGAAUUUUGGACAAUGGGGGCAACCCUGAUCCAGCAAUGCCGCGUGAGUGAAGAAGGCCCUCGGGUUGUAAAGCUCUUUUGUCAGGGAAGAAACGGUGGUUCCUAAUACGAGCUGCUAAUGACGGUACCUGAAGAAUAAGCACCGGCUAACUACGUGCCAGCAGCCGCGGUAAUACGUAGGGUGCAAGCGUUAAUCGGAAUUACUGGGCGUAAAGCGUGCGCAGGCGGUUAUAUAAGACAGAGGUGAAAUCCCCGGGCUCAACCUGGGAACUGCCUUUGUGACUGUAUGGCUAGAGUGUGUCAGAGGGGGGUAGAAUUCCACGUGUAGCAGUGAAAUGCGUAGAUAUGUGGAGGAAUACCGAUGGCGAAGGCAGCCCCCUGGGAUAACACUGACGCUCAUGCACGAAAGCGUGGGGAGCAAACAGGAUUAGAUACCCUGGUAGUCCACGCCCUAAACGAUGUCUACUAGUUGUCGGGACUUAAUUGUCUUGGUAACGCAGCUAACGCGUGAAGUAGACCGCCUGGGGAGUACGGUCGCAAGAUUAAAACUUAAAUGAAUUGACGG
Molecule: ribosomal RNA, 585 nt
Filed under: uncultured bacterium
Lineage: Bacteria
Description: bacterial SSU rRNA
Rfam family: Bacterial small subunit ribosomal RNA
Source: RNAcentral